This 539-nucleotide ribosomal RNA is filed under the name Ahaetulla fronticincta. RNAcentral's name for it is "partial 16S ribosomal RNA". It matches the Rfam family "Bacterial large subunit ribosomal RNA", at positions 1855 to 2623 of the family's 2925-position model. Lineage: Eukaryota; Metazoa; Chordata; Lepidosauria; Squamata; Colubridae. The record is from RNAcentral.
ACGCCUGCCCAGUGAACAAUUAAACGGCCGCGGUACCCUAACCGUGCAAAGGUAGCAUAAUAAUUUGUCUACUAAUUAUAGACCUGUAUGAAAGGCAAAAUGAGGGCUUAACUGUCUCUUAUAAUAAAUCAAUUAAACUGAUCUUCUAGUAAAAAAGCUAGAAUUACUACAUAAGACCAGAAGACCCUGUGAAGCUUAAACUAAACUAUUAAAUCUAAUAAUAACUACUUUAGGUUGGGGCGACCUUGGAAAAAAGAAUAACUUCCAAAAGUCUAAUGACAAACUAGGCCAACAAGCCAUAUAAAGACCCAGCAAAGCUGAAAAUUGAACCAAGUUACUCCAGGGAUAACAGCGCUAUCUUCUUCAAGAGCCCAUAUCAAAAAGAAGGUUUACGACCUCGAUGUUGGAUCAGGACAUCCUAAUGGUGCAGAAGCUAUUAAGGGUUCGUUUGUUCAACGAUUAACAGUCCUACGUGAUCUGAGUUAGAACCGGAUGUUCAACGAUUAAAGUCCUACGUGAUCUGAGUUCAGACCGGAGAA